This 739-nucleotide ribosomal RNA is filed under the name uncultured archaeon. Its description in RNAcentral is "bacterial SSU rRNA". It matches the Rfam family "Archaeal small subunit ribosomal RNA", at positions 1 to 750 of the family's 1478-position model. The record is from RNAcentral.
UUCCGGUUGAUCCUGCCGGACCCGACUGCUAUCAGAGUGGGACUAAGCCAUGCGAGUCAACACAGCAAUGUGUGGCAUACGGCUCAGUAACACGUAGUCAACAUGCCCAGGGGACGUGGAUAACCUCGGGAAACUGAGGAUAAACCGCGAUAAGUCACUACUACUGGAAUGGGUAAUGACUUAAAUCUAUAUGGCCCCUGGAUUGGACUGCGGCCGAUCAGGCUGUUGGUGAGGUAAUGGCCCACCAAACCUGUAACCGGUACGGGCUCUGAGAGGAGGAGCCCGGAGAUGGGCACUGAGACAAGGGCCCAGGCCCUAUGGGGCGCAGCAGGCGCGAAACCUCUGCAAUAGGCGAAAGCCUGACAGGGUUACUCUGAGUGAUUUCCGUUAAGGAGAUCUUUUGGCACCUCUAAAAAUGGUGCAGAAUAAGGGGUGGGCAAGUCUGGUGUCAGCCGCCGCGGUAAUACCAGCACCCCGAGUGGUCGGGACGUUUAUUGGGCCUAAAGCAUCCGUAGCCGGUUCUGCAAGUCUUCCGUUAAAUCCACCUGCUUAACAGAUGGGCCGCGGAAGAUACUGUAGAGCUAGGAGGCGGGAGAGGCAAGCGGUACUCGAUGGGUAGGGGUAAAAUCCGUUGAUCCAUUGAAGACCACCAGUGGCGAAGGCGGCUUGCCAGAACGCGCUCGACGGUGAGGGAUGAAAGCUGGGGGAGCAACCGGAUUAGAUACCCGGGUAGUCCCAG